GUUCUCCCUCUGUCCUAUAAGCUUUGCAAAGAGCAUGGACCUCCAGGGUUCCAGGGGCUUCGCUGGGACUAGGCAAUGCUUUCUAGAAAAUACAAAUGUUGGUUUCUUCUGGAAUGUGUUGGGUGGGAGGAGCAGCAGGCUAGGUACCCGGUUUUCUGUAGAUUUGCUGUGUGAUUGUGGACAAGGGUAUUCCCCUCUCUGAGCCUCAAGGGCCCACACCUACAUGAUGUGGUGGGGACACGACUGGACUCUAGAGUGUCCAGAGUCCUUCUAGAUCAGACACGGAGGGACAAUCUGACCCCACCCCAUUCCUCGGUGUGAAUGUGGGUGUGAAUGCCGGUGAAUGGCCGGCAUAGAUCUCCAUGGAGCGAGAGAGAAACUGGUGCAUCAAGGAAUGAGGAUGGCACUCCCUCAUUGCCUCCCACUCCCUUGCCCCCAUCCUACCCUUCAUUUCUCAGCCCCAAAGUAGGCCCCAGUGACCUGGACCAGAUGGAUUUUCUGCACCAGGACUUGAAGUCUUGGAACAUCAGUGCUGGAAGCACUCUAGUCUUGCACCCAUUGUUCAGAUGAGGAAACUGAGGCAUGGAGAGGAGAAGCAAGGAACUCAAAGUGAUUUAGCCAGUCACAGGUCCAGCUGGGACUCCAGCAAAUGUCCUGACCUCUUCUGCUCACUGGGGGAUCCUGAUCGGCCAAAUACUAAACAAAGGGGCCUCGGGAGGAAGGUGGAGAGAAGAGAGCCUUUAAGUUCCUUUUGCUUUGAAGAUGGAAUAAUCAUGACUUCCUUCUCCAAAUAUCUUUUGGCCCUUCCUAGAACCAGAUGGCGGAUGUUUGGAAUUUAUGUUGUAAAUAGUGCUUAAGAAGGGGUGGGAGUGCAGAUGUGUUACUUUCUUCCACCACCAGAAACGAGAUCUGAGGGAGAGAAGUGGGGGAGGGAAGCUGACUAUGAAAAGAUUUUGGGAGAAGGAAGAAGUGAGGGGGAAGGAAGACAGAACAGCGAUGUGAGAUGGGAGGAGAGGGAGCGAAAAUGGAAGAGAGAUGGAUGGAGUGAGACUGACAGCAAGACAGAGAGGAAGAGAAAGGGAAAGGAGAGAGCGAUGGGAGAAGGAGGAGGAAGAAAGAUGGGGAGGGGGCUCUCAGGGUGCAGGCGCAGAGACGCCCCUCUUGAGUUCAGGAGCAAACCCUUGAGUUUUCUAAAAAUAGCUCAGUCUUUCCCCUAGCAGGGUUGGCAGCAGGGACCAAGAGAGGCACGCUUGCCCUUUUAUGGAGGCCAACAGCAUUGGAGACCAUCUCUGGCCAUUCAAAGGGACCUCCUGGGCAGAGCAGCCAGAACUCAAGAUAGGCUGCCAUCCUCUAACUAUCUCUUGGAGAUAGUUGCAUCCUGCCUGGGCACCGCCUCUCCUCUGUCCCCUGCCCUUGGCUGUGAAGAGUGUACCAUAGUCUCCAUCUUUGGCUAGAAGGCAGAGAAGAAGCAAAGGAUGUGGUCACUCUGGCAGCAUAUUUUGGCAAGUCUCUCCCUGUCAUUGGGCCUCAGUUUCUGCAUCUAUAACAUGAGGAGAUAGGCCCUGAUGCUCUUUAAGGUCCCUCAGCUCUAAAAGGACUAUGAUGCAAUGAGUAUGGGAUUUAACACCAGGAAUAUUUAUUAAUCAUCUACCAGGGGCGCCAGAGGGAAUGAGAUGGAUAUUGUAUGACUGAGCUCUGCAGUCAGUGUGAGGUGGGGGCACAUUGCCUGAGAUUCCUGGAAGCCCCAUUUCCAAGAUCCUUCUGUCUUUAUUCUAGAAAGCCCUGGGCUGACUCUCUGACCCCAGCUUGAACCCAGGUUCUGGCAGCUCUGGUCUUGAGCAUCUAGGGAAGGCUGCUGGCCCAGGCGAUGUAGUUGCCCACUGCUCCAGGACCCUCACAGGCGGUUUGGCCAUGCCCUUGACUUCUUGGUCCUCUCCAUCCUCUCCCACACUGCUGUCCACUGCCCCAAGCCCUGUCUGGUGGGCCUCCCAAUCUACCCCAUACCCUCCGUCUCUCCAUGCUCUUUCUGUGACUCAGCCCAAGAGGAUGCUUGCUUUCCUUUCCCAGACUUCUAUGACACCCCCACCGACCAUGAGGGAAAGGAUGGAACAGAAGAGAAAAGGGGAAAAAAAUAAAGCACUGUGGUUCUAAAUCUGAAGCUUUCCUGUGACCCUCCUGGAAUUUCCACGCAGACUCUCUGGAGCGUGUGAACAGGGCUCCCAGGGUCCCUGGCCCCCUUUGUCUCAUUCCUGCCGGGCAGAAGGCCAUCAGCUGAAUGUUCCCCGGGGAACUCCAUCUCACAACCAGGCUCCAAGUCUCUUUGGUCAGG
This 2329-nucleotide long non-coding RNA is filed under the name Homo sapiens (human). RNAcentral describes it as "HSALNT0330202". The record is from RNAcentral. Lineage: Eukaryota; Metazoa; Chordata; Mammalia; Primates; Hominidae.